Molecule: ribosomal RNA, 879 nt
Filed under: uncultured bacterium
Lineage: Bacteria
Description: bacterial SSU rRNA
Rfam family: Bacterial small subunit ribosomal RNA
Source: RNAcentral
GUCGAACGCUUUGUCUUUAAUUGAUCUGACGAGCUUGCUCUGAAGUGAUUUUAUCUGACAAAGGGUGGCGAACGGGUGAGUAACACGUGGGUAACCUACCUCUUAGCAGGGGAUAACAUUUGGAAACAAGUGCUAAUACCGUAUAAUACCAACAACCGCAUGGUUGUUGGUUGAAAGAUGGUUCUGCUAUCACUAAGAGAUGGACCCGCGGUGCAUUAGCUAGUUGGUAAGGUAACGGCUUACCAAGGCAAUGAUGCAUAGCCGAGUUGAGAGACUGAUCGGCCACAAUGGGACUGAGACACGGCCCAUACUCCUACGGGAGGCAGCAGUAGGGAAUCUUCCACAAUGGGCGCAAGCCUGAUGGAGCAACGCCGCGUGUGUGAUGAAGGGUUUCGGCUCGUAAAACACUGUUAUAAGAGAAGAACGGCACUGAGAGUAACUGUUCAGUGUGUGACGGUAUCUUACCAGAAAGGAACGGCUAAAUACGUGCCAGCAGCCGCGGUAAUACGUAUGUUCCAAGCGUUAUCCGGAUUUAUUGGGCGUAAAGCGAGCGCAGACGGUUAUUUAAGUCUGAAGUGAAAGCCCUCAGCUCAACUGAGGAAUGGCUUUGGAAACUGGAUGACUUGAGUGCAGUAGAGGAAAGUGGAACUCCAUGUGUAGCGGUGAAAUGCGUAGAUAUAUGGAAGAACACCAGUGGCGAAGGCGGCUUUCUGGACUGUAACUGACGUUGAGGCUCGAAAGUGUGGGUAGCAAACAGGAUUAGAUACCCUGGUAGUCCACACCGUAAACGAUGAGUGCUAGAUGUUCGAGGGUUUCCGCCCUUGAGUGUCGCAGCUAACGCAUUAAGCACUCCGCCUGGGGAGUACGACCGCAAGGUUG